This 510-nucleotide ribosomal RNA is filed under the name uncultured bacterium. RNAcentral's name for it is "bacterial SSU rRNA". It matches the Rfam family "Bacterial small subunit ribosomal RNA", at positions 29 to 518 of the family's 1533-position model. The record is from RNAcentral.
AAUCAACGCUGGCGGCGUGCCUAACACAUGCAAGUCGAACGCGAAAGUCCCGAAAGGGAUGAGUAGAGUGGCAAACGGGUGAGUAACGCGUGGGUGACCUGCCUUCGAGUGGGGGAUAACGUUCCGAAAGGGACGCUAAUACCGCAUGACAUCCUGCUUUUGAAGGGGUGGAGAUCAAAGCCGGGGAUCGCAAGACCUGGCGCUCGAAGAGGGGCCCGCGUCCGAUUAGCUAGUUGGUGGGGAACGGCUCACCAAGGCAACGAUCGGUAGCCGGCCUGAGAGGGCGGACGGCCACACUGGGACUGAGACACGGCCCAGACUCCUACGGGAGGCAGCAGUGGGGAACUGUUCGCAAUGGGCGCAAGCCUGACGACGCAACGCCGCGUGGAGGAUGAAGAUCUUCGGGUCGUAAACUCCUUUCGAUCGAGACGAACGACCUCCGGGUGAACAGUCCGGAGGAGUGACGGUACCGAGAGAAGAAGCCCCGGCUAACUCCGUGCCAGCCGCCGC